GAUGAAGAACGUAGCGAAAUGCGAUAAGUAAUGUGAAUUGCAGAAUUCAGUGAAUCAUCGAAUCUUUGAACGCACCUUGCGCCCUUUGGCCAUUCCGAAGGGCAUGCCUGUUUGAGUAUCAUGAACACCUCAACUCUUUAUGGUUUUCCAUGAUGAGCUUGGACUCUGGGGGUUUUGCUGGCUCACAGUCGGCUCCUCUGAAAUGAAUCAGCUUACCAGUGUUUGGUGGGUAUCAUAGGUGUGAUAACUAUCUACGCUUGUGGUUUUUCCACCAGGUAACCUUCAGCAGUGGAGGUUCGCUGGAGCUCAUAGAUGUCUCUCCUCAGUGAGGACAGCUCUUUGAAUGUUUGAUCUCAAAUCAGGUAGGACUACCCGCUGAACUUAAGCAUAUCAAUAAGCGGAGA
This 404-nucleotide unclassified non-coding RNA is filed under the name soil metagenome. RNAcentral's name for it is "partial contains 5.8S ribosomal RNA, internal transcribed spacer 2, and large subunit ribosomal RNA". The stretch from base 1 to 121 matches the Rfam family "5.8S ribosomal RNA", at positions 35 to 154 of the family's 154-position model. The record is from RNAcentral.